This 74-nucleotide transfer RNA is filed under the name Enterococcus faecium. Its description in RNAcentral is "tRNA-Ile". It matches the Rfam family "tRNA". From Rfam's summary of the family: Transfer RNA (tRNA) molecules are approximately 80 nucleotides in length. Lineage: Bacteria; Bacillati; Bacillota; Bacilli; Lactobacillales; Enterococcaceae. The record is from RNAcentral. RNAcentral also lists the same sequence under 1 other name.
GUACCCUUAACUCAGUUGGUUAGAGCAGACGGCUCAUAACCGUCCGGUCGUAGGUUCGAGUCCUACAGGGUACA